Molecule: long non-coding RNA, 3047 nt
Filed under: Homarus americanus (American lobster)
Lineage: Eukaryota; Metazoa; Arthropoda; Malacostraca; Decapoda; Nephropidae
Description: uncharacterized LOC121868790
Source: RNAcentral
UCUUAAAUAAUAUCACAGACAAAAGUUAGGAGAAUUUAAUUUGCAUUGCUAAAAUCGUUACAAGACGGCUAAUAAUUUUAAUAUAAACGUUGUAUAUUUUGCACAAGAGAUAAAAAUUUGUAGCCCCUUGUAAUAAAAUUAGUUACAACUAACAUUUGUAUGUGAACUAUAGCAUUUUUCUAUUCAAAGUAAUCACAAUUUUAUAAGAAUUCCAGCAAUGUUAAUUAUAUUCUUCCAAGUCAGUUUAGUGAUAUUUCAUAAGAGAAAAACUGAAAGUCACUGUUAAGGACAGAUAAAUAAAUAAGCUCUAGACCUUGGCAUCAACUGCCAUGAAUCCGAUCAAGAGUAAACGGGCCAUUUCGCGUCUCAUAAUUUUAGCCGCGUCGAUUUACGAGUGUCUGUUUUAACGCGAUACUACAAAAAACGAUGUUUUGUAGGAGAUGGGCCGAGGUGCAUUUGGGUAUACUCGGUCUAUUUAGUAUUUUGUGUUAGUCUCAAGUACCAAAGUAAAUUGUUCCAUUGAAGCCACUUUAAUUGAGUCCGAAUUUGGUUUAAAGCUAUUAGCUCUCUAGGAAUGCGUCUCGCGUCACAUCGACGUCGUACCAUACGUGCAUCGGUAACCGACACGUACACGGGACCGGUAACAAUUUUACGUAAACGCGUCGACGACGAAGAGAGGUCAAUCGUAAUAUUCGAUAAUGCCGUCGGGUCGUCGACGUCGACGUACCGUUUCUAUGUUUAGUAAAUAGUCGUGGCGAUUUUUAUCACGCGCGUCCGUCGACGGGCACGCCGAGGGCGGUCCGUCACCGACCGCUCGAGAUUCGGCCUCUAUUGCGCAGUCAUACGGUCCGUCGUCGUUUGCGAGAAGUACUCGUUUACUUAGUCUCGCGUGCAGUAUAUUGCAUUUUUUAGCAAUAGACCAGUUAUGAUCGUAGAGUAGUUCCAUCACGUAGGGUAUCGUCUCACCGUCGGCCCGGGACACACCUCCGGCUACUCGACGCUCCGCUUACCGGUACACGACACAAAUUAAAAAUUAUCAACACGAUAUUUUAUGAGGUCAUUAUGAUUGAUUUAUAAUACCCUAUGCAAUGGUUGUAUAGAUGUAGUGCAGUAUAAUUAUUAAAUGCAGGCAGCAUUCACAUCACAAACUUAACCCACAGAAGAAGUCGCCUCGGGCAACGGCAGCAGCGGAAGCGCGAUCCGGGAGACGGACACGAAGAACGACCUCCGCGGAACAACCGUAGAUCGUCGCUCCGUCACCGCUCCGGAGACGGGUCGGCGAGUGCCGCUCUCCGACUCACGGGUCGGAGUCACCCGACAGGAGUCAGAAACGUCAUUUUUGUGCGGACCGGCGACUCGACGGACCCCGGCCGAGGACGCCGCUCGAACCGAGGUUGCGGACGAGAGCGGCGAUACGAGUCGGAGACACGAACGGAGACGGAUCGCACGGUCGGCGCGUAAGAGCGGUUCGGACGAAGACAUUCGGGAACCGAGGACGAAGACGCCGCGCCACGAAGACGCCACGCCACGAAGACGCUCGUCAAUUGUGGACGAAGAUACCGGUCGACGCGCGAGGAAGACGCUCGGGAACACGGGAAGAAUACCACACCGGCGAAUGCGGGAAGAUACUCGUCGACGCAGAAGAAGAUGCCCAUCAAUAUUGUAUCGCGAAGUGCCGGGCUAGUGUUAUUGUUUUAAAGGCGAUUUAAUGUGUAAAAUGAAUGUACGUGUCGUUUGUAACGAUUGUUAUAAUGUUUGUAGUACGGUUUUAGACACCGACUCCGUGAAGACGGAGGAAGUCGAUACAUGUCGAGAAUGAAUUUAUUGAAGAUGUUGCCUGUGAUCACUAGGGGUUUGCACUAAUUUGGCGAGAAGAUUAUCGUCGUAGACACGUUGCAAAUAGAUUGCGGAACGUCAUCGAAUGCGGCACGCACGUCAUUAUGGCGGGACACGUCCGUAAAUAACGGCAGCGUAAAUACGAGACGACGCGGCGGCUGCGGGGACGCGCGCCUCUCGAAAGUAAAAGAACGGCGGAGAUCGGACCGACACGGAUGGCGUCAUCGAGGUAACCGAUAAGAAUGGAGAAUUGAUGACUAUUUGGUUGAGUUAUGAGAAGGGGAAGAUAGUUGGUGGGUUUGUUUUGGACAGAGAGUGUAGUUAUAUAUUAGUGAAUAUAUAAAGUAAAAGGUGAUGAGGACGGUGGUGGGGGGACAACGAAUGAUAUAUUUUGUAGGGUAUGGACGUGCUAGUACCGAGUCGGCGUAGUGGCAUAAUUGUGAAAAAUAGAUGCGACAGGGAUUUUGAAGAGAAGAAAAAGUCGCGCGGUAGAGGAUAUGCGGGGAAAUCGGCGGAAGAGACGACGAAUUUAGUAAAUGCCGGUUUAGGAAAGGGUCGCACGUAAAGCGGGCGGUGCGGGCAUCUGCGGAUACGGACGACGGUCGAUCGGGGUCCGUUUACGGGACGGGAAAGAGGAUCGACGCGGGAAGUACGGAGAGGGCGACGGAGAACGGACGGGAAUUUGCAUGGAGACGAGGCGGCGCAGAAAUGAAAGCGUCCGAGGUACCGCAGGGAAGUAUACCCGCGAGAUGUGUAAAGAAUGGUUUGGAAGUAGAGUUAGUCGAGAGUCAUGCGUUUGAAAUGGUGGGAAGGUUUGAUAGGUGUAGGGGUUUUACGUAAUUGCGGCAGUUCGUCGGAGAGCGGGUAUCUACCGGUAAGGAAAUACGCGAUGCAGCAGCAAUAUAUUUUUGGUUAAUAGCAGUUUGACGUAUUCGGUAUGAAUUUAUACUCGUUCACCUGCACUCUGUGUUGCUGCACUCGUGUUAAGGUGUUUAUUGUGAAGGUGUUUGUAUAAUAAUAAAAUUUGGUGGACGAGUAGGAUAAGUCGAAGGGGAAGGAAUACGAGCACAAUGUUUAAUUUGUAAGCCCUCCCUUUUUUUGUGUUUUCCGUCUGCCUUCCUGUUCUCCUUUUUGUAUCUCUUCUGCCUUUCAUUGUUGAUCCUGCGGUUUGUUGUCCCUCCGUUUCAUUGUGACUCCGUUCGUCUUUCUUC